GUCCCUGUAGUGCAAAGGAUAGCGUGUUGGACUUCUAAUCCAAAGGUCGUGGAUUCCAAACCCACCUGGGAUG
Trichonephila clavata is the source of this 73-nucleotide non-coding RNA. Lineage: Eukaryota; Metazoa; Arthropoda; Arachnida; Araneae; Nephilidae. The record is from the annotation of a GenBank genome assembly.